UACGUAGGGUCCGAGCGUUAUCCGGUAUUAUUGGGCGUAAAGCAUACGUAGGCGGUUUGGCAAGACAGUAGUUAAAUCCCCAGGCUCAACCUGGAAAUCGCUACUGUGACUACCAAACUAGUCGAUAGCAGGGGCAAGCGGAAUUCUCGGUGUAGGAGUGAAAUCCGUUGAGAUCGAGAGGAACACCAAUGGCGAAGGCAGCUUGCUAGGCUAUAUGAGACGCUGAGGUAUGAAAGCGUGGGGAGCGAACGGG
RNAcentral lists this ribosomal RNA (253 nucleotides) under uncultured bacterium. Its description in RNAcentral is "partial 16S ribosomal RNA". It matches the Rfam family "Bacterial small subunit ribosomal RNA", at positions 524 to 776 of the family's 1533-position model. The record is from RNAcentral.